UGGAAUGGUGUGAUGGACAAGACUUUUACUAUCAGGUCUGAUGUUAUUCUUUCAUAUUAUUUUAACUGAUUUGUUAUCGUUAUGCUAUCUAAUUCUUUUUGCAGAAUUAAAUCACCUUUUGUGAUCGCUGUAUUAUAUUAAGAUUAGCAAGCUGUUUGAUGGGAUGUAGAUCUAAUGGUUGUGGUUAGGAUUAAAGUUAAACACUUUAAGCAUUUAUCUUAGUGGAACGCGAAUACACCUAUAUAUAUGUAAUAUACACAAGUACUCUCAAUUUUUACACAGUAUUAUCAUAGGUCUCCUAAACUUACUAAGCGUGCUACUCAAGGUUCAAAUCUUGCUAAUCAGUGUAGAUGUUCAAAUCUUGCUAUUUUCCAUACUAGCAGAGGUUGGAAUUUAGAAAUAAAUUUAGGGAGUUACUUUAGGUUAUUUUUAUAAUGAC
This 439-nucleotide long non-coding RNA is filed under the name Setaria viridis. Its description in RNAcentral is "long non-coding RNA (SVIR_LNC009686)". The record is from RNAcentral. Lineage: Eukaryota; Viridiplantae; Streptophyta; Magnoliopsida; Poales; Poaceae.